CGAGACCUCAGGUCAGACGGGGCUACCCGCUGAGUUUAAUCAUAUCAAUAAGCGGAGGAAAAAAAACUAACAAGGAUUCCCUUACUAACGGCGAGCGAACCGACGAAUUAUAACUAA
RNAcentral lists this ribosomal RNA (117 nucleotides) under Lonchocarpus monticola. RNAcentral's name for it is "partial 28S ribosomal RNA". It matches the Rfam family "Eukaryotic large subunit ribosomal RNA", at positions 1 to 118 of the family's 3401-position model. The record is from RNAcentral. Lineage: Eukaryota; Viridiplantae; Streptophyta; Magnoliopsida; Fabales; Fabaceae.